GGGGUUGUGGCUCAGCGGUAGAGCGCUUGCCCAGCACGUGCAAAAGGCCCUGGGUUCAAUCCUCAGCACCA
Molecule: transfer RNA, 71 nt
Filed under: Ictidomys tridecemlineatus (thirteen-lined ground squirrel)
Lineage: Eukaryota; Metazoa; Chordata; Mammalia; Rodentia; Sciuridae
Description: Spermophilus tridecemlineatus (thirteen-lined ground squirrel) tRNA
Rfam family: tRNA
About the family: Transfer RNA (tRNA) molecules are approximately 80 nucleotides in length. Their secondary structure includes four short double-helical elements and three loops (D, anti-codon, and T loops).
Source: Rfam by way of RNAcentral